UAAAAGCCACCCAGGCCUUGGUCCUA
RNAcentral lists this non-coding RNA (26 nucleotides) under Homo sapiens (human). The record is from RNAcentral. Lineage: Eukaryota; Metazoa; Chordata; Mammalia; Primates; Hominidae.